Molecule: ribosomal RNA, 449 nt
Filed under: uncultured bacterium
Lineage: Bacteria
Description: partial 16S ribosomal RNA
Rfam family: Bacterial small subunit ribosomal RNA
Source: RNAcentral
AGCGAACGCUGGCGGCGGGCCUAACACAUGCAAGUCGAACGAACUCUUCGGAGUUAGUGGCGGACGGGUGAGUAACACGUGGGAACGUGCCUUUAGGUUCGGAAUAACUCAGGGAAACUUGUGCUAAUACCGAAUGUGCCCUUCGGGGGAAAGAUUUAUCGCCUUUAGAGCGGCCCGCGUCUGAUUAGCUAGUUGGUGAGGUAAAGGCUCACCAAGGCGACGAUCAGUAGCUGGUCUGAGAGGAUGAUCAGCCACAUUGGGACUGAGACACGGCCCAAACUCCUACGGGAGGCAGCAGUGGGGAAUCUUGCGCAAUGGGCGAAAGCCUGACGCAGCCAUGCCGCGUGAAUGAUGAAGGUCUUAGGAUUGUAAAAUUCUUUCAUCGGGGACGAUAAUGACGGUACCCGGAGAAGAAGCCCCGGCUAACUUCGUGCCAGCCGCCGCCGUAA